Molecule: ribosomal RNA, 460 nt
Filed under: uncultured bacterium
Lineage: Bacteria
Description: partial 16S ribosomal RNA
Rfam family: Bacterial small subunit ribosomal RNA
Source: RNAcentral
CCUACGGGAGGCAGCAGUGAGGAAUAUUGGUCAAUGGGCGGAAGCCUGAACCAGCCAAGUAGCGUGCAGGAUGACGGCCCUACGGGUUGUAAACAGCUUUUAUACGGGAAUAACGCGCCUUACGUGUAGGGCUUUGCAUGUACCGUAUGAAUAAGGACCGGCUAAUUUCGUGCCAGCAGCCGAGGUAAUACGGAAGGGGCGGGCGAUAUGCGGAUUUGUUGGGUGUAAAGGGAACGUAGGCCGCAUGUCAAGCGAGCUGUGAAAUGUCCGGGCUCAACCCGGGCCUUGCAGCGCGAACUGGCGUGCUUGAGUCCGCGAGAGGCAGGCGGAAUUCGUCGUGUAGCGGUGAAAUGCUUAGAUAUGACGAAGAACCCCGAUUGCGAAGGCAGCUUGCUGCAGCGGAACUGACGCUGAUGCUCGAAAGCGCGGGUAUCGAACAGGAUUAGAUACCCUUGUAGUC